This 1039-nucleotide long non-coding RNA is filed under the name Ursus maritimus (polar bear). RNAcentral describes it as "lncRNA (ENSUMAG00000018538.1)". Lineage: Eukaryota; Metazoa; Chordata; Mammalia; Carnivora; Ursidae. The record is from RNAcentral.
AAAGAUACCCAGAUGGAAGGGUUCAUGAGACAUUACGGUUAAGACCUGAAUAAAGCCAAACUUUUUAGAGCGAAUUCAAAAAACUGAGCUAUUCUUUAAGUACUGAUUUCUCUCUCUCUCUCUCUCUCUCUCUCUCUCUCUCUGUUUUUUGGGUUUUUUGUUUCGUUUUGUUUUUUUGGUUUAAUGACUCCUCAACCAGGCGGCUGGUCAGGGCUUUGGAAGCUCAAUCUGCAAUCCAGGGAAGGAAGUGACAGAGCGUGAUAGAACAGGGCAGCUGCCAGUCUCAAGCGAACAUGUGCAGAAUGUUAUAAAAGGAGCAGAGGAGCCGGGAGCCCCACAUCGUGCAGGAAUGGGCCACUCCACCCUCCACAAACCACAAGGCGAUGAAAAUCCCAGGCGUGGAGAGACGAAGAACGCUGCGGAAGGCCACAGAGGAAGUAGUGAGAGGUGCCAGGAUCUGAAGUCGCAACCGCAUAGCACCCAGGCGAGGAGAUGAAUCCACACCUACUGAAUGAGUAUAUAACUGCAAUGCUCACUUCGCCUCCCUCCCAAAGCGUGAGGGUCCCCGGGGGAUGUCUGUCUAAGAAGAUGGCCAAGUACAAGUCAAAGUCGUUACGAAGGAGCACGGAUCCUGCUUAGAGACGCUCAGCCCAGCAGGGAAGACAGAGGAGUAUGCAGAUCACUAUACCCCAGGGUAGGAAAUGAUUUUCCAUGCGAGCGGUACCACUGCGGGACAGAGGGACUUUAAAAGAAUACAUUUGCUUUGCCUUUAGCAUGAGAAGCUCUGGGAGAAUAGCUAUGACGUACACACAUGAUCUCUUUGUAUUUGCUUUGGAUUACGUUGCAUUCAGGUAAUUGUGCACCCUGAAUGAGUCGCCGUUUACCUGCAAGAUAGCAGGGGACCCACAGGACUGUCUUGUGAAGGCCCCUCGUGCUCCUGGCAGCCCGGGAAUGGUGGGCCUGGUAAAGGCAGAGGCGGAACCUCUAAGCCAUACGGUGCCAGACUGAGGAGGGGCCUCCCAGACCCCAGGGUCCAACC